UUCCACUCAUUGGUACAAACUCCAAACAUUCUUCCAAAUUCGACCUCAAAUCAGGUAGGACUACCCGCUGAACUUAAGCAUAUAU
Molecule: ribosomal RNA, 85 nt
Filed under: Lodderomyces metapsilosis
Lineage: Eukaryota; Fungi; Ascomycota; Pichiomycetes; Serinales; Debaryomycetaceae
Description: Candida metapsilosis partial 28S ribosomal RNA
Source: RNAcentral